GUCAGGAUGGCCGAGUGGUCUAAGGCGCCAGACUCAAGUUCUGGUCUUCGAGAGAGGGCGUGGGUUCAAACCCCACUUCUGACA
This 84-nucleotide transfer RNA is filed under the name Erythranthe guttata (spotted monkey flower). RNAcentral's name for it is "Mimulus guttatus (spotted monkey flower) tRNA". It matches the Rfam family "tRNA". From Rfam's summary of the family: Transfer RNA (tRNA) molecules are approximately 80 nucleotides in length. Their secondary structure includes four short double-helical elements and three loops (D, anti-codon, and T loops). The record is from Rfam by way of RNAcentral. RNAcentral also lists the same sequence under 1 other name. Lineage: Eukaryota; Viridiplantae; Streptophyta; Magnoliopsida; Lamiales; Phrymaceae.